This 615-nucleotide ribosomal RNA is filed under the name uncultured bacterium. RNAcentral's name for it is "bacterial SSU rRNA". The stretch from base 1 to 523 matches the Rfam family "Bacterial small subunit ribosomal RNA", at positions 338 to 873 of the family's 1533-position model. The record is from RNAcentral.
CCUACGGGAGGCAGCAGUGGGGAAUAUUGCGCAAUGGGCGAAAGCCUGACGCAGCGACGCAGCGUGAGGGAUGAAGGCCUUCGGGUUGUAAACCUCUUUCAGCGGGGACGAAGCGAAAGUGACGGUACCCGCAGAAGAAGCACCGGCUAACUACGUGCCAGCAGCCGCGGUAAUACGUAGGGUGCAAGCAUUGUCCGGAUUUAUUGGGCGUAAAGAGCUCGUAGGCGGCUUGUCACGUCGGGUGUGAAAACUUGGGGCUCAACCCCAAGCCUGCACUCGAUACGGGCUAGCUAGAGUGUUGCAGGGGAGACUGGAAUUCCUGGUGUAGCGGUGAAAUGCGCAGAUAUCAGGAGGAACACCGGUGGCGAGGGCGGGUCUCUGGGCAACUACUGACGCUGAGGAGCGAAAGCGUGGGGAGCGAACAGGAUUAGAUACCCUGGUAGUCCACGACCGUAACGGUAGGGCGCGUAGGUGUGGGUACCGUACCUACGUCUCUGUGCGCNGCUACGACAUAGCGCCCGCCGCGGGAGGUACGGCCGCGACGACGUAAACGUACUAAUAGAAGUUAGUUACGGUCGUUGAGACGUUGCCGACGGACGACGACGAGGGAGGAGG